GAUGAACGCUAGCGGGAGGCCUAACACAUGCAAGCCGAGCGGUAUUGUUUCUUCGGAAAUGAGAGAGCGGCGUACGGGUGCGUAACACGUGUGCAACCUGCCUUUAUCUGGGGGAUAGCCUUUCGAAAGGAAGAUUAAUACUCCAUAAUAUAUUGAACGGCAUCGUUUAAUAUUGAAAGCUCCGGCGGAUAGAGAUGGGCACGCGCAAGACUAGCUAGUUGGUGAGGUAACGGCUCACCAAGGCGAUGAUCUUUAGGGGGCCUGAGAGGGUGAUCCCCCACACUGGUACUGAGACACGGACCAGACUCCUACGGGAGGCAGCAGUGAGGAAUAUUGGUCAAUGGGUGCAAGCCUGAACCAGCCAUCCCGCGUGAAGGACGACUGCCCUAUGGGUUGUAAACUUCUUUUGUAUAGGGAUAAACCUACCCUCGUGAGGGUAGCUGAAGGUACUAUACGAAUAAGCACCGGCUAACUCCGUG
This 479-nucleotide ribosomal RNA is filed under the name uncultured bacterium. Its description in RNAcentral is "partial 16S ribosomal RNA". It matches the Rfam family "Bacterial small subunit ribosomal RNA", at positions 28 to 507 of the family's 1533-position model. The record is from RNAcentral.